RNAcentral lists this small nucleolar RNA (129 nucleotides) under Gouania willdenowi (blunt-snouted clingfish). The record is from RNAcentral. Lineage: Eukaryota; Metazoa; Chordata; Actinopteri; Blenniiformes; Gobiesocidae.
AGGCACAAUUCAUUGUCCUGCUCUUUACCUGUAAGAGUAGUGAUAUUUCUAAUGUGCUAGAGAAACGUUGGAGGUAAAUUAGCAGAGUGGCUACUACGUGUCAGUUCUGCCAGUCCCCUUCAUACAGUA